UACGUAGGGGCCAAGCGUUGUCCGGAUUUAUUGGGCGUAAAGAGCUCGUAGGCGGUUGGGUAAGUCGGGUGUGAAAACUCCAGGCUCAACUUGGAGAUGCCACCCGAUACUGCUCUGACUUGAGUUCGGUAGGGGAGUGGGGAAUUCCUGGUGUAGCGGUGAAAUGCGCAGAUAUCAGGAAGAACACCAAUGGCGAAGGCAGCUCUCUGGGACGGUACUGACGCUGAGACGCGAAAGCGUGGGGAGCGAACAGG
This 254-nucleotide ribosomal RNA is filed under the name uncultured bacterium. RNAcentral's name for it is "partial 16S ribosomal RNA". It matches the Rfam family "Bacterial small subunit ribosomal RNA", at positions 524 to 776 of the family's 1533-position model. The record is from RNAcentral.